UCCGUAAAAGAUUGAAUUACAAAUAAAUGGAAAUGAUAUUUCUUUUUUUAAUUAUGAUAAUGACAAGAAAAUAUUUUGAUUAAUGCAUAUUUUAAUUGUCACUGACUUCCCAUAGAAAUGU
RNAcentral lists this small RNA (121 nucleotides) under Foraminifera environmental sample. Its description in RNAcentral is "partial transfer-messenger RNA". The record is from RNAcentral. Lineage: Eukaryota; Foraminifera.